This is a long non-coding RNA of Benincasa hispida (wax gourd), 516 nucleotides long. RefSeq lists it as uncharacterized. The record is from RefSeq and is a predicted model, not a curated record. Lineage: Eukaryota; Viridiplantae; Streptophyta; Magnoliopsida; Cucurbitales; Cucurbitaceae.
GUAGAAAUGAGGCUUUAAGAGAGCUCAAAGAAAUGCACACUUCUAUUACAACAAUCUAUACCAUAAUAUACAUUUCAUCUCUUUGUCUACCAAAUAGAAGAAAAAUAUUGAUUCAAAGAUGGUUUCUAUUGUUUGGAAGAAACUAUUGUCGAUUGUUAGACUCAUCUUUCCUUCCAAAGUAAAUGCAAAGAGAUCGAGUUCCACACCCGACAUCGAUGGUAUGAAGAAAAAGAAAUUUCUUCCUCCUCUAUUUGAUCCAGAAAAUACUGCUGCUCCUCGCAAUGGGAACUAUUGAUUUUAAAAUUUUAUAUUCAAUUUAUUCCCUUAUCAAUUUGAUUAUCAUGAAAUAAAUAUAGCUGUUUUUUCAAUCUUUGAUUGUAAAGAGAAAAAGAAAUAUAUCAAUUCUAGAGUGUUUCCUUUUACAUAUUUGUAUUAAUUAACAAAUUUUGAUUUAGUCGUGUCCCUUUUAAGUAAUUUUUUUUUUUAGAUACGUCAAUUUGAAUUUUGCAUGAAACA